UGUAUAGACCAAAGGCUUUGAAGCAUUUCAUUUGCAAUCGAGAUAAAGCUGACUACCUUCAUAAUUUGGUGAAAGAAGGUGAGCAAUGCAGCCAUUAUAUAUUUGAAGGUCCUGCUGGAGUAGGGAAGACAACUAUGGUUUGGGCUUUCUUAAGAGAAGCUUUAGGAGUCGAAGAUUUACUGACAAGGGAAGAGCGCAAGACAUUUGAAUUAAAGGGAGAAGUUGAACCAAGUAUUACAGUACGUGUGAAAGUAUCAUCUCAAUAUGUUGAAAUAAACUUAUCUCAACUACACGGAUACGAAAAGCAUGUGAUUGCUGCCUUAAUUAGAGAAACCCAAUCGAUCACCAAAACCAAA
Molecule: long non-coding RNA, 356 nt
Organism: Papaver somniferum (opium poppy)
Lineage: Eukaryota; Viridiplantae; Streptophyta; Magnoliopsida; Ranunculales; Papaveraceae
Exons: 3
Source: RefSeq, a predicted model, not a curated record